Molecule: long non-coding RNA, 1915 nt
Filed under: Sus scrofa (pig)
Lineage: Eukaryota; Metazoa; Chordata; Mammalia; Artiodactyla; Suidae
Description: lncRNA (ENSSSCG00005016644.1)
Source: RNAcentral
UCCCCAUUUGUCAAGUAAGGAUACUUUUUCCAAGUCUGUCAAAAUAAGGAUAAGCCAAGUUAAGCUACCUUAAAACUCCGAAAUUCUAUGACUUAAAAUAGGAGAGCAUUUUAAGAAGACUUUUAUGCUAGGAUUAUUCAAAUAGCCAGUUCCUGCUAAGCCUGCCCCUCUCUGAGCUCUUGUGUCAGUGAGGGCAGGUGUGUGGCCAGCUCCUACGCUUCCCAACUCCCAAGUUCUUUCCUGCACAAGGUCCAAUUGCUGGGUGAGUCAGGGUGGGGUUGCUUUUUACACCCGGUACUGGCAGGCACCACCAGGAGAGGUGUUUAUUUUUCUUUUUAGGACCUCGCCUGUGGCAUAUGGAGGUUCCCAGGCUAGGGGUCUAAUUGGAGCUGUAGCCGCUGGCCUACAGCAGAGCCACAGCAACAUGGGAUCCAAGCCACGUCUUCGACUUAUACCACAGGUCACGGCAAUGCCAGAUCCUUAACCCACUGAGCGAGGCCAAGGAUCGAACCCACAAGCUCAUGGUUCAUAGUUGGAUUCGUUAACCACUGAGCCACAACGGGAAUUCCAUGUGGGCUUUUAAAUAUUUGUGAAAAACAAAGACAAUAAACAGUUUUGUGUGACUUGCCUUGAAGCUCCUAAUUCCAUGGCUGGAAUUUAAUAAGAAAGUUGGGGAGUUCCUGAAAAAAAAAAAGAAAGAAAGAAAGUUGGGGAGUUCCUGUUGUGUUCCAGCAAAAACAAUCUGACUAGUAUCCAUGAGGAUGCAGAUUCGAUCCCUGGCCUCGCUCAGUGGAUUAAGGAUCCGGUAUUGCUUGAGCUGUGGGCGUAGGUCACAGAUGUGGCUUGGACCUGGCAUUGCUAUGGCUGUGGCGUAGGCUGGUAGCUUCAGCGCCAAUUCGACCCCUAGUCUGGGAACCUCCAUAUGCUGUGAGUACAGCCCUAAGAAGACAAAAAAAAAAAAAAGAAGAAGAAGAAGAAGAAGAAAAAUAAAUAGAUUUUGUAGGCUAUGUUUCUUCUUUUCUUUUCUUUUUCUUUUUAAAUGGCUAUACACUUAGCAUAUGGAAAUUCCCAGGCUAGGGAUCGAAUCCAAGCAGCAGUUGCGACCUACUUCAUAGGUGCAAUAACGCCAGAUCCUUUAAUCCACUGGGCUGGGCAGGGGAUUGAACCCACACCUCCACAGCGACCUGAGCUGCUGCAGUCAGAUUCUCAACCCACUGCAUCAUGAAGGAAACUCCAACUCUUGUUUUCUUUAUAGUCAGCAUGAAACGAGAAAGGUUACACCCUGGUUCUGGCAAAGAUUUCCUAACAGAUGAAUAAAAAUGGACUGGGACAUGGAAUGUUUGCUUGACAUAUUGCUUUCUAAUUUGGAGGACUGUCCAAGUUAAUGUUCUUUCCUUAUAAUUAGGUUUAUUAAUAUUAAAUUCUUGCAUAACAUAGGACUUUCUGGUUUAGAACUAGAAGAGACAUUUUCCCAUAAAUUCUAGAUUUCAGAUUCCUACACUUAUUCAUGGAAAAACUUUUUAACUAUUCAAAACUACUUUGUGGGUUUACAUGUUAUUAGGAGGCACAAAGCAGGAUGUAGGCGUGGGUAGUUCUGUAUUUUAAGACCUCAGUAUGCAUUCACUUACCAGUUUUCACUUUGGGCAAGUUACCUAAACCUCUCUGUGCCUCAGUUUCCUUGAUUUUAUUAUGGGGAUGAUAAUAGUGUCCCUCACAAAGCUAAACUCAGUGUUUGGGAAUGUGCCUAUUACAGGAUGAGGACUUAAGAAAUAAGAGUUUUAUAUUAUCAAAAGGUUAUUAUCAAGAAAUUCCCUGGUGGCUCAGUGUGUUAAGGAUCUGGUGUUGUCACUGCUGUGGCUCAGGUGGCACCUGUGAUGUGGGUUCAGUCCCUGGCCACAGAACUUCCACAUGCCAU